AAUAAGAUGGCCGAAGUUAAGCGAUAGACUGUAAAUCUAUUUAUGAGUUAAGUACUCUCUUAUUA
Molecule: transfer RNA, 65 nt
Filed under: Neotrypaea thermophila
Lineage: Eukaryota; Metazoa; Arthropoda; Malacostraca; Decapoda; Callianassidae
Description: tRNA-Tyr
Rfam family: tRNA
About the family: Transfer RNA (tRNA) molecules are approximately 80 nucleotides in length. Their secondary structure includes four short double-helical elements and three loops (D, anti-codon, and T loops).
Source: RNAcentral